This 926-nucleotide long non-coding RNA is filed under the name Ornithorhynchus anatinus (platypus). RNAcentral describes it as "lncRNA (ENSOANG00000048545.1)". Lineage: Eukaryota; Metazoa; Chordata; Mammalia; Monotremata; Ornithorhynchidae. The record is from RNAcentral.
AUGCCGCUUUUGGUGUUGCAAAAGUAUCCUGUAAAGGCCGCUGAAUCCUCCCCUGAAUCGACCUAUGAAGACCGGGAUUUGACCAGCUUAACGACUCAUCUCAGCUUCGAGCAUCCCCUGAUAACUUCUAACUCUUCGAGGUUCAUCGCCUGUAGAAAACCCUGUAAUUAAGGAUGAGAAGUAUAGCAUGAAGUAGAAAUGCAAAUGCGUCUCUGACAGUGGGAUCGAGCUCAGUAGAUCACAUCGGUGGAUCAGUCUUGUCGCUGGUUCAGCUCCUUUCUUGUGCCCGGCACAGAGUAAGUACUGCAAAGAAACGAGACAUCUUUUCACAGACAAAAACAUCUGUUAAGCGCUUACUAUGUUACUGUUCACCGGUGCACACCUUGCAAAGGCUUUCCACCACAGCCUAGUGGAUAGAGCACAGCCCCGGGAGCCAGAAGGACCUGGGUUCCAAUCCCGGCUCCGCCACUUGUCUGCUGUGUGACCUAGGACAAGCCACUUCACUUCUCUGCGCCUCAGUUCCCUCAUCUGUAAAAUGGGGAUUAAGACCGUGAGCACCACGUGGGACCGGGACCGUGUUCAACCUGAUCAGCUUGUAUCUACCCCAGUGCUUAGAAGAGUGCUUGACACACGGUAAGUGCUUAACAAAUACCAUCAGUUCUAUUUCUUAGUCACCUUUCCCUCCAAAUUCAAGACCUCUGCCUCACAUCUGUUCCGACUCUUGUAUGUGAGAGCCUGCAGCGGGGCCUAAUUUCCCCCCAGGCAAAGCUUCAAGCAAAGUCACCCAAAUCUGCAAACACUGCCUUUCCCUCAAACAACACUGCUUAGAGAGCGUUGGCUCCAGGUCUGAAUGGGUCGGUUUAUUCCUACAGGGCUGACGUGUGAAAUUAGAGCAUUGAACAUUUAGAUCCAGUCCCAUUUUCUUU